UCUCUGGCAUUGCUCUGACCUACUCCCCUGUGCUUGUCCCACUUCACUCUAACUCCAGGUUCUUGGGAGGAAGGGAUGAUGUGUUCUGUCUCGGGAUGAGAAGUGCUGGAGGCUUUGCAACAGCUGGGAUGGUUCCCAAAGUGCCUGUGUGGAUAUCGAUGGAGAGGGGAACCAGUAAGGAUGAGGAGAUAGCACAGCAAGGGCCCCAGCUGAUGGGCCUGUGAGGAAGGAGAGGGGCGCUUAUGCUCGGGGGGCAGUGUCCAGGAGGCCCAUUCAUCUCUUUCCUCAAAUUAGACAACACGGUGGGGAGAAAGCCACCGUGGCACAUCAAGUUGGGAAACGAGCGCACGCUCUGCAAAUCUCAAGGAAAUGGACAGAGGAAACAGAAAAGCCCUUUUUCCCUGUGCGGACACCUCUGUCAAGCACAGCUUGCCUGUCCUGGCUGGCCCCGCAGGUGCUCCUGGCAGAUGCCUUUGUACACUGAGGACGUCCUGGUGAGUGGUUCUCUGGAUUCAAUUAAUGCACAAACUGACCGGAGUGGAAGACAGAGAGGAGACAGCGUCUGAGGAAAGCUCCUUCUCCCCUGCCAUGCUGCUUCUCACCUGGUGACGAUGUGGACUUAGUGCUUUGAGAUCCCUGGACAUAAGAGGAAUCGAUCUCUAACUGACUGACAAUCUUUCACCCUGCUGGUUAGGCUUCGUAAUGCUGGGAGGUGCUAUGCAGGCUGCUGGGAGAGAAGACAUUAAUAAUUUUACCCACCACUGGACAUUCCAUGUUACAGUACUGACCCACCAGCCAAGAUGUGCCCACUGGUGCAACAGAAGCAUGACUGUCCUGAGACCUGGGCUACUUGCAACCUUGAUAAGACAAGCUGCUUUUGACAAUGGGCAGCAGUCAAUGGAGAGAAGCAUGACUGUGAAAGUAUUGAGAAUAAGAGACUGAGUGCUCCAUCAUAAGAGAAACUCAACCCCCAGAAAGGGAACACUGAGGAAGAGGAAGCAGAAUUUAAGAGCCUGAGGAUGGGGAGGAGUGCCAUGAAGGGCUGUCAUCUGGAUAUGAAUGACACGGCCUUGCACUUAGAAACGCAUGCACCGGAUCUACUCAAGAUGAAGCCAACUACAAUCCCUGCAUAGAUGAGGGAGGUGAUCUCCAGGAACCUCCCUUUAUUGAGUGGCUAUUGGCUGCUGGGGUAGGGAAAAUCAUUCUUCUUUAGGGUGUAGCCACUGGUAGGUUUUACAUACCCUAGUAAAUGGCCGCACGCGC
Molecule: long non-coding RNA, 1263 nt
Organism: Onychomys torridus (southern grasshopper mouse)
Lineage: Eukaryota; Metazoa; Chordata; Mammalia; Rodentia; Cricetidae
Exons: 3
Source: RefSeq, a predicted model, not a curated record